CAAGAGUGAAUGUUUUUCGUCUGAGCUAUAAACUCAUUGCAUGACACUUUUUGUUCAAUUUAAUUACAAUGAUAUUGUUAUGAACUUACGAGAUACCUCUUGGUUCUUCAUGUCCCACGUAAUCUAAAGCAUUAUGAUUAUGCAAGAUAUCUAAAGUGAAGCCUAAAAUAGUCAAGGUGCGGGAAAAUUUGUCAAAAUGCAUCAAGCAGCUUAUUGGUGGCCAAUGUAGCCUUUUUUCUUUUACAAAAAUAUUGGGAGCUUCUUACCUCUGUGAAUAAAUUUUUUUGGAUCCACCGCUGCAAGUUCUUAUAACCUAUUAUGGAAUCAAACGAGAAAAGAUAGAAGAAGGUAUAAAUGGAAACGUCGCUAACAUUCUCCGUAUAUCUUUCAUUUCGUUGUGUUGAAACUUGCAAGUAGAUUAUGUCUAGGCAACUUUUGCCAAUACAAACUAGAGAAACUUGCUAUGCUUUUAGUCUCAACCCAAAACCUUCUCAAUAGCCAUGCUAUGCUUUUAGCAUUUUACAAAUUAAUUGCUUUAGGCUAUAAGUAUUAGUAUAGACCAUCACAAUGUCAAUUGUUAAAGUUAGAAAAUAUGAAAAUAUAUACAAUGUUCAAGUGCAUGCAGAAGCUUCAGUUGCCAUUAAUCAUAUCAAAAGGAACAUAGUGGGACCCUUUAUGUAAUUUUAGGCCUCAUUCAUUCCUCUCCUCCUUUUCUGAUCUGAAUAGGGAAAUUUGAAAAAAAAAAAAAACCAAAAUUAUAAUCCAUGUAAAAUUAUAGUUGUUGCAGUCAUAUUUAGAAUAGAAAUGUGAUUGUGUAAAUUCUAGAGAAUCUGGGAAUGUAUCUUAUAUUCCUAUUAAGAGUAGAUUACCUAUUCAAUGUUGUAAUCUUAAAGAGAAAGGUUUUUACAUAUUCUACUACUAUAA
Molecule: long non-coding RNA, 924 nt
Filed under: Malus domestica (apple)
Lineage: Eukaryota; Viridiplantae; Streptophyta; Magnoliopsida; Rosales; Rosaceae
Description: long non-coding RNA (MDOM_LNC005160)
Source: RNAcentral